This 374-nucleotide long non-coding RNA is filed under the name Rattus norvegicus (Norway rat). RNAcentral's name for it is "long non-coding RNA NONRATT000595". The record is from RNAcentral. Lineage: Eukaryota; Metazoa; Chordata; Mammalia; Rodentia; Muridae.
AAGUACUCCUCAGCGCCUGAAGUCAGAGCCCAUGACUCUCUGGGUCUUCUGUCCUGGGAUCAUCAGAGGUCAGAGCCAGGGCCGAGGCAAGGCUCAUAGGAGGUUAAGGGUAGCUCAGUACUAUCACACAUAGGUGCCCCUAGAACCUCCCAAAGUCUGAAGUGUCUUCUCCACGGCUGCCCUAGAAAGGCAUAAGUUAUGAGCCUGCCUGACCAAGACGUAAAGGAUCCUGGACGGAGGCGGGCGCCGUGACGACUUGGUGCCAUGAUCGACCCAGAUGCCAUGUUCCACAACAGCCCGGCUGGGUGUUUAUCAUUGCUUCCUUUAGCAAGUUUAAGUAACUAUAAAGAGCGAAAUAUAAAUAAUUAUUAAGA